GAUGAACGCUGGCGGCGUGCCUAAUACAUGCAAGUCGAGCGAACAGACGAGGAGCUUGCUCCUCUUACGUUAGCGGCGGACGAGUGAGUAACACGUGUAUAACCUACCUAUAAGACUGGGAUAACUUCGGGAAACCGGAGCUAAUACCGGAUAAUAUAUUGAACCGCAUGGUUCAAUAGUGAAAGACGGAUUUGCUGUCACUUAUUGAUGGAUCCGCGUCGCAUUAGCUAGUUGGUAAGGUAACGGCUUAUCAAGGCAACGAUGCGUAGCCGACCUGAGAGGGUGAUCGGCCACACUGGAACUGAGACACGGUCCAGACUCCUACGGGAGGCAGCAGUAGGGAAUCUUCCGCAAUGGGCGAAAGCCUGACGGAGCAACGCCGCGUGAGUGAUGAAGGUCUUCGGAUCGUAAAACUCUGUUAUUAGGGAAGAACAAAUGUGUAAGUAACUAUGCACGUCUUGACGGUACCUAAUCAGAAAGCCACGGCUAACUACGUG
This 497-nucleotide ribosomal RNA is filed under the name uncultured bacterium. Its description in RNAcentral is "partial 16S ribosomal RNA". It matches the Rfam family "Bacterial small subunit ribosomal RNA", at positions 28 to 507 of the family's 1533-position model. The record is from RNAcentral.